AGUAAAAACAAAACAAACAAAAAUCGUGUAUCCUUUUUUAUAUAAAUAGUGUACCUAAGUUGAGAAAACAUUUUUAAUGUUAUAGAAAAAAUAAAAAUUGAAGAGGCUUGAAUUCUGAGAAAGACACUUGAAACAACAACUCCAAUCAUCACCUAUGGGUCACUCUUUUCCGAAGUCGAUAGUAGUUCCGAUUUCAAAGCGGCCACCAUGAGAGCCAACGUUGUUCAAGCCUCCACCAUCUUCUAUGACACACCUCCCACUUUAGAUAAAACCGAUAGACUGUUGGCUGAAGCAGUGAAAACGGGUCCGAACUUGUUAUGUUUCAUGAAGCAUUUGUUGGUGGCUAUCCACGUGUCGUUUUUGGUGUCCAAGGCAUAUCGCCCAACCAAUGGUAUAGAAGAUUUCAAAAAAAAAAUGUCAUUCAGCUGAGAUUGAUGUGCCUGGUGUGGUAAGACCUUAGUUCACAAAAUCACAAUUAUUGAAUGUUAGUACCAAACCUUCAACAUUAUAUUAUGUAAACCUUUGUCAACAUUUUAUUUAUGCAAAAUAUUUCCGAUCUCUUUUAACUUUAUUUAUUUACAAGACAUUUUACCUAUAUUUUAUAAGAAAUAUUAGAGUAGUAGGAUUUAGUCGACCUAAUAACAAGUGCAAAAAAGAAA
Cicer arietinum (chickpea) is the source of this 659-nucleotide non-coding RNA. The record is from RefSeq and is a predicted model, not a curated record. Lineage: Eukaryota; Viridiplantae; Streptophyta; Magnoliopsida; Fabales; Fabaceae.